AUUGAACGCUGGCGGCAGGCCUAACACAUGCAAGUCGAGCGGAUGAAGGGAGCUUGCUCCUGGAUUCAGCGGCGGACGGGUGAGUAAUGCCUAGGAAUCUGCCUGGUAGUGGGGGAUAACGUCAGGACACGGGCGCUAAUACCGCAUACGUCCUGAGGGAGAAAGUGGGGGAUCUUCGGACCUCACGCUAUCAGAUGAGCCUAGGUCGGAUUAGCUAGUUGGUGGGGUAAAGGCCUACCAAGGCGACGAUCCGUAACUGGUCUGAGAGGAUGAUCAGUCACACUGGAACUGAGACACGGUCCAGACUCCUACGGGAGGCAGCAGUGGGGAAUAUUGGACAAUGGGCGAAAGCCUGAUCCAGCCAUGCCGCGUGUGUGAAGAAGGUCUUCGGAUUGUAAAGCACUUUAAGUUGGGAGGAAGAGCAGUAAGUUAAUACCUGGCUGUUUUGACGGUACCAACAGAAUAAGCACCGGCUAACUACGUG
RNAcentral lists this ribosomal RNA (484 nucleotides) under uncultured bacterium. Its description in RNAcentral is "partial 16S ribosomal RNA". It matches the Rfam family "Bacterial small subunit ribosomal RNA", at positions 30 to 507 of the family's 1533-position model. The record is from RNAcentral.